GAUGAACGCUAGCUACAGGCUUAACACAUGCAAGUCGAGGGACCGGCGUACGGGUGAGUAACGCGUAUCCAACCUUCCCAUUACUGUGGGAUAACCUGCCGAAAGGCAGACUAAUACCGCAUAGUCAUGGAUGGGGAUUCGUCUGAUUAGCUUGUUGUCGGGGUAACGGCCCACCAAGGCGACGAUCAGGAGGGGUUCUGAGAGGAAGGGCCCCCACAUUGGAACUGCGACACGGUCCAAACGCCUACGUGGGGUAGCAGUGAGGCAGAUCGGUCCAUGGACGGAAGUCUGAACCAGCCAAGUAGCGGGCAGGAUGACGGCCUUUGGGGUGUAAACUGCUUUUGUAUGGGGAUAGGUACCAUAUGAAUAAGGACCGGCUAAGUCCGUGCCAGCAGCCGCGGUAAUAC
This 407-nucleotide ribosomal RNA is filed under the name uncultured bacterium. RNAcentral describes it as "partial 16S ribosomal RNA". It matches the Rfam family "Bacterial small subunit ribosomal RNA", at positions 28 to 526 of the family's 1533-position model. The record is from RNAcentral.